This 397-nucleotide ribosomal RNA is filed under the name uncultured bacterium. Its description in RNAcentral is "partial 16S ribosomal RNA". It matches the Rfam family "Bacterial small subunit ribosomal RNA", at positions 523 to 918 of the family's 1533-position model. The record is from RNAcentral.
AUACGUAGGGGGCGAGCGUUGUCCGGAAUGAUUGGGCGUAAAGGGCGCGUAGGCGGCCCGGUAAGUCUGGAGUGAAAGUCCUGUUUUUAAGAUGGGAAUUGCUUUGGAUACUGUCGGGCUUGAGUGCAGGAGAGGUAAGUGGAAUUCCCAGUGUAGCGGUGAAAUGCGUAGAGAUUGGGAGGAACACCAGUGGCGAAGGCGACUUACUGGACCGUAACUGACGCUGAGGCGCGAAAGUGUGGGGAGCAAACAGGAUUAGAUACCCUGGUAGUCCACACUGUAAACGAUGAAUGCUAGGUGUAGGGGGUAUCGACCCCUUCUGUGCCGCAGUCAACACAAUAAGCAUUCCGCCUGGGGAGUACGGCCGCAAGGUUGAAACUCAAAUGAAUUGACGGGG